Molecule: long non-coding RNA, 10496 nt
Filed under: Oryza sativa (Asian cultivated rice)
Lineage: Eukaryota; Viridiplantae; Streptophyta; Magnoliopsida; Poales; Poaceae
Description: long non-coding RNA (OSAT_LNC000656)
Source: RNAcentral
CCGGCGUUGAAAUGCUCGACCACGGCGGCCCUCUGCUGGUACUCCGGCGACGACGCCAGCUUGUCGAAGAUGGUGACGAGGCUGUACGUCGAAGGAUCACCGGCGCUAUUCCCGUAAAACACCUUGAGGCUCUCGAAGUCAUGGAGGUUCUUCCUCCUGAUGGCGUUCGUGUCCACUGAGAGAGUAGACGCGAUGUGUUCGACGAUGGCCUCGGCGAUGAACGAGCCCUGCGCGUCGCCGGGAGCCCGCAUCGCCGACUUCGACGAGACGUUCGUCUUGCAGAGCUUGAUGUCGAAGGAGAGAGCCCCCCAGUUGUACUUCUUCAGAGCCCCGACAAUGGCGACUGGCAACGCCGGGCUGCAGUCCGGCGAUAUUCCGCAGUUGAUUCUGAGAUCAACGUGCAGACCCGUGAUCUUGCCGUCGGACUUGAAACCGACGGAGUACUUUACCUUCAUCGGAUGCCGCCCUCCCGCCAUGAUCAUGUCUGUCUUGCGAUCGAGGUACAUUCGAACCGGACGCCGCAGCUUGAAUGCGGCGACAGCACAAGCAGUUGCAACCUGUCAAACAACAGGUACUUCUGGUCAUAUCUAGAUCUUUCUGCAUUCCAAACAAAUUCUAAGUUCAUGCUAAUGACGCUAUCAAAACAGACAUUUAAACCGUCGAUAGUUGGUUCACAUUUUAAAAUAGCCCACAACAAUGAAAUAUGUAUUAAGUUCUCACAAUAUUUUUAGUUAUGAAAUACUAUUGUACUACUAUUAUAAUUGUUAAACAAAAGCAUAUGCAUUGUAGUACGAAUAACUACAGAGUUAGACGAGAAAUUCCACCAGUUCAAGAAUAUAAUUGUUCUGCAAAUGCAAAUCAUCAUAGUCAGAUGCUCACAUGUAUUGCUUUCAUUGCCUUUCCACCAAAACCUCCUCCAACUCUUCUCGUGAUGAUACGGACGUUGUGAUAUGGAAUGCCAAGGCACCUCGCAACAGUAUUUUGAGUAAUCUCAGGUAGUUGCGCCGACACAUAGAGGGUUAUACAGUUAUCUUCAUCAGGGAUAGCUAAGGCCGUCUGUGUCUCCAUGUAGAAAUAGUAUUGGGAUUCAAGUUUCACCUGUAACAAAAAAAUAGAAAUUGGGUGUAAGUAUUUCUCCUAAAAUUGUUAGGAACUCUCAACUAUAAUAAUCUUGGUUGCUCCUUUCAUUCUUAGCACCUGCUGCUCAAUAGAUAGUGUGCAUCAAAAUUGUUCUACUAUUAUACUAGCAUAUUAAGUCAUGCGUUCACACAAUUAUAACCUCUCUGUCUAUUUUUAAAAGUGUUAAGUACAUACCUCCCCAUCUAUGAUCUUGUGAUCAGCUUCAGACAUGGCUUGGUUGAACUCACCAAUUGGCGUAGGAGCUAAAAAUGGGGGAACUUGGAAGUAGCUGUUAUGCUGGACAGCGUCUUCUACUGUCAGAAUUGGUGGCUGAAGAUUUUCAGUACUAUAUUCGAUCACAGAUUGCUUCGCCGCCAUAUAGGCAUACUUUUGAGUUUCAGCAAUCUGAAUGACAACAAGGCAAUAUGACAUGGUAAGCUCGAAUUUAUUCACAAAAUUUCUGAAUAUUCAGACAUGUUACCAGUUCUGCCUCAUUUGAAUGAAAGUUGGUUUAGAUGUAAGUACCACAACACCAAUAUUCUGUCCAGCAAAUUCAGAAACAGGAUCAACGAAAAGCGCUUCAUCUCCUAGCAUUGGGGAGCAUGAUCCAAUAUUUUUUCCAUUGGUAGGAAUGUCCUUUAAAGUGAUAACUGUGAUGACCUUCUGUGAAGCCAAAGAUGAUCUGAAGUUUACACCUUUUAUGUGAGCGUGAGGGUGUGUGCUGUAGAUAAAUGCCCCAUAGAGGCAAUCCUUUGGAGCAGAGAUGUCAUCGACAUACACUGCCUCCCCUGCAUAACAAGUUCAGAUGUUCAGGCUAUGAAAGUCCAAUUAAAAGUAAAACAUGUGAGCUCGGAUUGAGAAUAGGAAUUUAGGAUAAGAGAAUAUGUACCAGAAGCUUGGAGCUCAGCUCCCGUUUUCUCGAUCGGUUUUCCAAUAGGUCUGUAUUCAUCAGAGAAAACCAUCUCUUGCCUUGAUUUUAUUGGCAAAUAAGAGCUGUCAACAUUUGAGUGCUUCUCUGGCGAGGAAUCAACAAUACCAUUUGCGGUUCCAUUAGUAAAUGAACCAUUGGGAACAUUAGCAUUUUCAGGCUCAUCCAAGCCAUUAGUAAGGGAAGACAGGAAUUUGAACAGAUAACUGACGGCCAAGCUGACUCUGUAUUCAGGAUGUGUUGUGCCUUCAGCUGGUGAAACAACACCUUUCAGAAGACGAACUGCUUCAAGUAUCACUGGUGCACUAACCAAUUUUCCCUUCAAGAACUUCUCAACCUCCCUAGCUCUGAUGGCGUGCUUGGCCCCAAAGGGGCCGAAUGCCAAGCAAACAUCCUCAAUGAGAUGGCUCCCUGAUGAUCCAUCCACUGAACUUCUUGCCAAGAAUGCAGAAUUAACAUAUGACACAGCAUUGCCAAGUGGACGAGGAGCCGCACGAAACGUCUGAAAGGUGAUGCCAUCAUCUGAACCCCAAUCCGGGAUAGAGAUGCUGACCAGCAAUGUCCUGGAAUCACAUGGAGGCUGCUUCAAGAACUCCUCCAGAGUGAUGCACAUCCUCUUGGCGGCCACCUGGAUGGUGACAGUUGAUCCUGCAGCGAGAAGAACAGUUGCGAUGUCCGACGAGAAAGACAACCUCUGCGCCAUGAUGAUGUUGCCUCCAAUGGUCGCCGUGUUCCGGACGAACGGCGAGGCCACUUUGCUCAGGUGAUCAGCGAUCUUUCUAAACACCGCGCCUCCAUCCGACAGUAUGUCGAUGGCUUGGGAGAUAGACACGACAGCUCCGAUCUCUACGCCCUUGCUGCUUCUAUUGAUGGCUGAGAGUUCCGGAAUCUGCGAGAUGUUGAUGUACUUGUCAUGGAGGUCUUGAUCCUUGUACACUCCGGAGCCGGUGUUCGAUGCCACAAUCUUCACAGACCUUUCAUCGAACAGGUUAGAGUCAAACAACCUGUGGAACUCCUCGACGCUCUUGGGGUGGAACCAGCCGUCGCCGGUGACCACCACCGCCGAAGUGUCACCAUUCGCUUGACCCAUGGACGACCUUAUCUCCGACUUGAGGAACUCCGGGAACGUACAGACGGCGGCGCCACCGGAGUAUGCAGGCAGCUUGUUGAUGUCAGCGUGCUCGUCGUCGACGCCUUUCUUCCAGAAGGCGUUGAGGCCAAGAUCCUCGAGGUCGACGUCCGCGGCGAAGCUCUUGCAGGCGUCGACGAUGGGCCUGUAGCCAGUGCAGCGGCACAGGUUGCCGGAGACGGCCUUCUCUGCCUCGGCGGCGGUGAUCUUGGAGAACCCCGUCGGCGGCGCGGGGCGACCGGAUGCCUUGUCAGCCUUGGCGAGCGCGGAGUAGAUGGACAUGCACAUGCCCGGCGUGCAGAAGCCGCACUGUGAGGCGUGGAAGCCGGAGAGCCGCCGCUGCACAGCGUGGAAGCCAUCCCUGGAGUUGCCGAUGCCCUCGCUGGUGGUGACCGCGCAGUGGUGCAGGCUGCCGAGCAGCGUCAGGCAGGAGCUCGCCGAGAACUCGGUCACCUCGUCGGCGACGGCGUCGUACUUGGACACGACGACCACGCAUGCGCCACAUCCACCUGAAAAAAAAAAGAAGAAAUCCUUAGUAAUUUAUCCGUACUGUCAAAUUGAUAAUUACCCCCUCACUGUUACUCUAUUAGUAUUAAACUAAAAAAAUACCCUUGCGUUGCAUCGGGUGAAGUUUAUUUUAAUCUUAUUAUUGUUGUACGGUUUAGUUAAGAUGUAAUUUACUGCGAGAGUUCGCUUGGAUAUAUAUAUUUUUAGAAAAUCAUGGCCUGGAGUUAGGAGUCCAAUCACCUCAAGUUAGCAUGUAAGUUUUUUUAAAUAAAUUUCUUAUAUGAUUUCUUCUGUAUUACCAAAAGUGAACGAUCUUAAAAACCGACUCAAAUAUGGAUAUGUAUUUUUUUCAAAAGCAAAAUAACUUAAAAACCGACUCAUACACAGAUGACAUACCAAAAUACCGGUAAAAACAUUUUCAAUUUUUAUAAAAGUAGAGAAGAGAAGACAUAUAGAUUAAAACCAAAACAUAAAAUUAAAACCGACUCAAAUACGGAUGACGGACCACGGAAACAUCUUCAGUUUUUAUAAUAGUAGAGAUUUAUAUUUUAGAACUUUAAAUAAAUACUACAGAUUAAGUAUAUCAUAAAAAAUAAGGUAUGUAGAUCUCUUUUCUUUAUUCACUCAUAUAUAUUUCUACUAUUAUAAAAAUUGAAGAUGAUUUUGCCGGUACUUGUAGGUUAUCUGUGUUUGAGUCGGUUUUUAAGUUUUGUUCGCAUUUGGAAAUACAUAUCCGUGUUUGACUCCGUUUUUAAGUUAGUCCACUUUUGAAAAUCAAAAGGAGUCGUAUAGAAAUCUCUUUAAAAUACACUCGCAUGCCUUGAGACAAUCAGACUCCUAACUGCAGCUCCUGAUUUUCUAAGAAAAUAUAUAUUCAAGCGAAUUUCCACAGUGAAUUUAACUUUAACUAAACCUAUAACAAUAAUAAAAUUAAAAUAGUUUUCACCCGUUGCAACGCACAGUCAUUUUUCUAGUACUCAUAUAUAUGUAUGUAAAAAUUGCCUGGGUAUGAAACCAAUUAGAAGGAGGGGCAGCUUUAUGGUAUAAAUAAAACAUAUUUAUUGAUAAUAAUAUUUUUUUAGGAUUUGUUAAAAAAAAUAGAGCACCUAAACAUUCAACUUAAAAGGAAAAUCACCUUAUUUUUAAUUUGCACUUAAUUUGUUAGAUAUUUGUUUUAAACAAAUUAAGUUAACCUCCUUUUAAGAUAAUGAAAAAUGUUAUAAUUAAUUUUUUGUGGGUAUGAAGAAAAUAUCGUAUAGUUUAAAGCUAACAAACAACCUGGAAAAUUUAUACAAACAAUUGUGAUGAAGAAAAUUUAUGGAGAAAUAAUUAUUUUGAUGCACGGUAUGUAGGUGUUAUAUCCGGUUGAUAUUCUGCCGUUAUGUCUCCUAGACACAAUAUUCCAUACAUGCUACCUGAUAGCUAUACAUCCUAGUUGUUCUAGUAGUUGCGUAUAUACUUGCUACCUGAUAGUGAUACCAAUAGAAAAAAAACAAAAGAAAAACAAAAAGAAGUGCAAUUUGCAUGCGGAAAACCUGGAUAAUUCGUUUUCUAGCUCCUCCGCUCCAACAACUGCAAAUAAUACGAUAAUCCAGUAAGCUACUGGGCACCUUCUUCUUGGUUUGUUGUGAAUUCGUUGCUACGAUAUUCUGCAUGAUAUGUGCUUGCGUACGGUUAAUUUCCUCUUCCCGGAGGACAUGUACAGCGAUCAGGUGAGCUAAACAGUGCUAAAAAAAGUACUAAUUAUUGCCACAUCCGGGAAACACCAAUAAAAACAGUAGAACUACUUAAUUACAUGGAGAUUUUACCUGGCGAGAAAAACUACACGCAGACUUAAUCAAGUGACCGUCAAAAAAAAACAGACUAGAAACUGGACAGACUAACAAAGGAAGAAUGAGGCUUAGUUUAGUUUCAAAUUUUUUUUCUUAAAAAACAUCCCAUCAAAUCUUUGGACAGGUACAUGAAAUAUUAAAUAUAGAUUAAAAAAACUAAUUAAAUGGUUAGGGAGAAAAUCGCGAGACGAAUCGUUUGUGCCUAAUUAGUACAUGAUUAGCCAUAAGUGUUACAAUAACUCACGUGCUAAUGACAGUUAAUUAGCUCAAAAGAUCCGUCUCGCGGUUUCCAAACGAAUUAUGAAAAAUUAGUUUUUUCAUUCAUAUCCGAAAACCCCUUCCGAUAUAUCAGAUGUGACACGAGGAAAAAAUUUCUUUUCGCGAAAUAAACAUGCCGACGAACACCAAAUCUCAUGGAAUUAAUGGAUGGACCAGUAUAGCUCAAGAUUCCGACGAGCAAGCAGAAGAAGAGAUCGAAGCAAACAGCCGUAAUUAAGAUCGAGAAGGAGAGAGAUGGUAGUUCUCACCUUCGCCGCAGCCGAGCUUGGGGCCCCUGACGGGGGUCCGCGUGCGGAGGAACUCGAGCAGCGUCGUCGACGGGUCGACCCCCACCGCCUCGUACCUCUCCCCGUUCACCGCCACCACCACCGCCCUCGCCGCCGCCGCCGCCUCUGACCCCAUCUCGAUCAACCGACCUCUACCUCCUCCUGUGGCCACAGCCCGCGCGCGCGGGUGCAGGACAGGAGACGCGCUAGACGGCGAGAGAACCUGAAUCUUGAUAUAAGAUCCUAUGUGAAAAAUAAAAAAAAGAGCUGAAAAAUCUAUUGUAAGUAAAAUAGCAAAACCGCUAUAACAAUGUAACCUUCUUAAAAAGUUAAUUUUGACGCGUCAAUAAUUAAAAAGUAUGCUAGGACUUUUUUUUUCUUGUGAAGGUAUGGCUAACAUUUUUUAAUUUAAAUAUUAACAGAAAAACUAUGAAACAUGCACUACUAGAAAAAGCAUUUUUCCCAACGUAAGGGUCUUAUUUUCGCAGGCGGACAUGACGUUUAGAGCCAAAUGACCGGCUACAAAAAUAUAAGUCAGGGUGAAAUUUGAUGUCCGCAAGCGGACCACUUAAGCGGCGCCUGCGAAAAUCAGGCGGACCACUUAAGCAACGCCUGCGAAAAUUAGCGUGAUAUAUAUACAUGGCAGAUGGCCCGAAUUUUUUUCUAAGUCCUUUCCUCUCCCCCUCACUCUCCUCUCCUCUCCCCUCCCCUCCCCUUCACCUCUCCUCUCUCCUCAUUCUCCCCACCGGCAGAAGGGGCGGACGGCGCGGGGCGGCCGGCGGGGAAGACGGCGUGGGGCGGCGGCUCCCCUCCCUCCCUUCCUCCCCUCCAGAUCUGGCCGGAGGGGGUAGGGGGGAGGCCGGCGGCCGGCGGCCGGGCGCGGGGCGGUGGCGACGUGUGCUCCUGGCGACGGCGGCGGAGGGCGGCAGCGGCGAGGAGGGUCGAGACGGCGCGGCUCCCGGUCCCUCCCUCCCAGAUCUGGCCGGAGGGGGCAGGGGGAGAACGGUGGCCGGCGGCUCCCAGCCCCUCCCUCCCAGAUCUGGCCGGAGGGGGGCGGGAGGAGCACGGCGGCGGGCGGUGGCGGCGAGGCGGUGUGGCCACGGCGGCGAGGGGGGUUGAGGCGGCGGAGGCGGCGCGGACGACGGCGGGCCGCGGCCGUGCGGCAGCGCCGAACGACGGCGCGGCGCGGACAUGCAGCGGCGGACGACGGCGUGGCGCGGACAUGCAGCGGCGGCGAUGGACGACGGCUGGGCGGUGGCGGACGACUAGGCGGCGGCCGUGAUUUUUUUGAAUGUCUUUAUUUGCUUUCUUUGCUACAAUUGACUCGGUGAUUCUGGACGAAUUGAAUGGAUUGGAUGGGGAUGGUGAUUUUGGAUGAAUUGAAUGGAUUGGAUGGGAAAUGGAUUGGGAACGGGAAGCUACCGCCGUCCGGUGGUGGCUGCCCAUUUUUUUUUUAGCGCUCGAAGCUAUUUUCGCAGUCGGACGUGUUGCCCGCCUGCGAAAAUCAACUAUUUUCACAGGUGUUGAGGUGCAGGCGGAUGGCUUGUCCGCCUGCGAAAAUAUGAUUUGGCCGCUUGCGAAAAGCCUUUUUCUAGUAGCGAGGAUACCGUGGCAACAAGAUAAAUUAUGAGUUAAUCGUUAUUUUCCAUGAUUUAGAUAUGUUCUGAGCGGAUGUGACGACGGGCCAGACAUGAUGUGAGGAGGCUGAGCGUGACUAAGCUGGUCAGAGGCUAGAGUAGCACAUACGCUUAGGGCCUGUUUAGUUCGCGAAAAGAAAAUUUUGGGUGUUAUAUCGGACGCUUGAUCGGAUGUGGAAAGAGGUUUUUGGACACGAAUGAAAAAACUAAUUUCAUGACUCGCCUGGAAACCGUGAAACGAAUCUUUUGAGCCUAAUUAAUUCGUCAUUAGUACAUGUGGGUUAUUGUAGCACUUAUGGCUAAUCAUGGACUAAUUAGGCUCAAAAGAUUCAUCUCGUGAUUUCCCCUCUAACUGUGCAAUUAGUUUUUUUAAUUUAUCUAUAUUUAAUACUCCAUGUAUCCAAAUAUUCGAUAUGAUGUUUUUAAAAAUAAAAAUGGGAACUAAACAAGGCAUUACUUACCUUCGGGUCUCUGUAUGCUAUCGUACUAGUUAGUUCAACUGUAUACUAAACUUUUCUGCUAAAGUAUUAUUAUUUUUUUUCCAGUAUGUCUUAAAUGUCUUUUUAUGCUCUAGAGUUAAGUCCUCUUUCUUUUUUCUUUUUUUUAUGCCCGCUAUAUCUCGCUUCAGUCCGACCCAACACCGACCGAUCCCAUCUAAAAAAGAAUGGCAUUUUUUUUGUUCCUUUUCAUUUGGAUAGCAUGACUCCAUGAGACAUGAUAGAACAAUACCAUCCAUAUGAUUUUAUUUUUCCCAAAAAAACACCUUUUGUUCUGUACAUAUAUACCACAUCAACACAAAUCCAGGCGCAGAUUAUUGUUGGUGUUUAUACAAAGCUAAGCCAAAGAACCCUUCUAUCUCUAGGCUUUGGCAGCAAAGCUCUCGAGAUAUCUCUCCACGACGUCAAGGCCGCAGAGCUCCUUGACGAUCGGCAUCGUCGCCGGCACGUCCAUCUGGAACGUCAGCGGCGAGCCUCCGGCGCCGGCGAACUCCUUCCUGGCCGCCCUGAUCGCCUCCCUCAUCGCGCAGUGCACCGACGACGCCAGCAGCAGCGGCGGCUCACCGGACGCUGCAUGCCAUGAAGGACAGCAACAAUAUCAGAAUUCAGAUUUGAGAAAAAAAAAAGGAGCAAACGAAGAAGAGAUUUUCACCUUUGGAGGAGAGGACGCGCUUGUGAUCGCGGGCGCUGUUGAUGAGCUCGACGUUGAACUGCUUGGGGAUGGUGUCCACGGUGGGGAUCUUGUACGUCCACGUGCCGUCGUUGAUGACCAGCCCAUCGGAGUUGGUCGUGUACUCCUCGUUCGUGAAGAAGCCGAUCCCUUGCACGAAUGCGCCUUCCACCUGAUCACAAAAAACAACGAUUGCACAUUCAGAUCACAUAUAAUUUACAUCUCAUUCUUGCAAUGAUUUUGCAACGCGCAGAAUUGCAGAUGCAACUGAUAUUUUGAAGGUAAUUUAGUAGAUUGACUGACCUGGCCCAAGUCCACAGCAGGAUUCAGGCUCUGCCCACAGUCGUACACGAGGUCGCUCCUCAGGAUGGUGGUUUCUCCCGUCAGCACAUCGACUUCCACCUGGAGUGUUCAUGUGCAGAUUUUGGAUGGACAAUGCAUUAGCUUUGAGAAGGAGAUCAAGCUCAGCAAAUUGGCUCGGCAAAUGCAUUUUCAGAGCUUCUGUUGUAAUUUGUAUCUGGGUAUCUUUAGUGUGUACCUCACUAAUUGCAGCUCCAUAGUUCAAGUAGCUAGUGAACGUGGGGUCAGGCGUCCAGUACGCGUGCUCUGUCAGCUUCACACUCGCCAUGCUUGCCUGAAAGCGAGAACGAGCAAAUGCCAUCACAAAUUUGUAAAUUUACAACGCUGUCAGACACAAUGAUCUUUCAGAAAACAAGAUUUCCUUACUGAUGCUUGCAGUUUACUGAAAAAGUUAUUACUCCCUCCGUUUCACAAUAUAAGUCAUAUUAGCAUUUCCCACAUUCAUAUUGAUGUUAAUGAAUUUAGACAAAUAUAUCUAUCUAGAUUUAUUAAUAUUAAUAUGAAUAUGGACAAUGUUAAAAUGACUUACAUUGUGAAACGGAGGAAGUAGUUUUUUUAAGGACGAGAAAACUCAAACAAGAAUUUACCUGGGCAAUAAGGGAUUUCCAUGGUGGCGUGCCAGCCUUCUCUUUGAUGGGCUUCAACCUCUCCACGAGGGCGGCGCACGACUUCCGAACAGCCUCGCAGCUAGUCUCGGAGGUCGUGCUCCCACCGGUGAAGCCUCCCUGGAUCAUGCUCAGGGUGUCGGCCUGGAUGACACGGACCUUGUCGAUGAGGCCCUCGCCGCCAUCAUCGCAGAGCUGGCCCAGCGCGAACGCUGUCAUCUGCUUCACUUUCGUCCACAGCCCCUGCCCGAUCUCGACGCCGCCGACCUCAACGGCGAUGGAGCCGUCGUUCAUGAUGGACACCUUCCCCGGAGUUGGCCGGAGCCUCACGUCGUAGGUGAUCGGCACGCAAGAAAUGCCCCGCUUCUUCCACCUGUUGCCGGCGUUGAAGUGCUCGACCAUGGCGGCCCUCUGCUGGUACUCCGGCGACGAGGCCAGCUUGUCGAAGAUGGUGACGAGACUGUACGUCGAAGGAUCACCGGCGCUAUUCCCAUAAAACACCUUGAGGCUCUCGAAGUCGUGGAGGUUCUUCCUCCUGAUGGCGUUCGUGUCCACUGAGAGAGUGGACGCGAUGUGUUCGACGAUGGCCUCGGCGAUGAACGAGCCCUGCGCGUCGCCGGGAGCCCGCAUCGCCGACUUCGACGAGACGUUCGUCUUGCAGACCUUG